RNAcentral lists this unclassified non-coding RNA (454 nucleotides) under uncultured fungus. RNAcentral describes it as "partial contains small subunit ribosomal RNA, internal transcribed spacer 1, and 5.8S ribosomal RNA". The stretch from base 1 to 73 matches the Rfam family "Eukaryotic small subunit ribosomal RNA", at positions 1759 to 1831 of the family's 1831-position model. Lineage: Eukaryota; Fungi. The record is from RNAcentral.
UCAAACUUGGUCAUUUAGAGGAAGUAAAAGUCGUAACAAGGUAACCGUAGGUGAACCUGCGGUUGGAUCAUUAACGAGGAAAGUGAGAGGAGCGAGAGAGCAAAGAGAAGAGGGGGUUGGUCGGUGUGUGCGGCCAACCUGGAGGCGAUCGCUGCUCCUGUCGAUGGUCUCUGGCGGCCGAGGCGAGAGGACCCGACGGGCCCAACCCCUGGGGCCGCCGGAAGAUAUCGUCAAGAGCCGCUGCGAAUCCCUCCCGCUGCUGAACUCCUCAACCUUUCGAGGGGUUGUGAUGCGCAUUUGAUUUUGUGGUGGUCCAUCCCCAAAAGAAAAAAAUUGGCUUUUGGACCCCUGAGAUGUCUUGUAGUGAAUCGCCUGAGAAAAAAAGAAAAGAAUUAAGACAAAAACAACUUUUGACGACGGAUCUCUAGGCUCUCGCAUCGAUGAAGAACGCAGC